RNAcentral lists this long non-coding RNA (233 nucleotides) under Marmota monax (woodchuck). The record is from RNAcentral. Lineage: Eukaryota; Metazoa; Chordata; Mammalia; Rodentia; Sciuridae.
CUAAAAAAUGACAAAAUCAUGGAAUUUGCAGGGGAAUGAAUGGCAUUAGAGCAGAUUAUGCUAAGUGAAGCUAGCCAAUCUCUAAAAAACAAAUGCCAAAUGUCUUCUUUGAUAUAAUGAGAGCAACUAAGAACAGAGCAGGGAGGAAGAGCAGGAGGAAAAGAUUAACAUUAAACAGAGACAUGAGGUGGGAGGGAAAGGGAGAGAAAAGGGAAAUUGCAUGGAAAUGGAAG